CAAUGGAGUUUAUUUAGGCCAUGGGGAGGGGAGUUGAGAGGGUAGUAGAGACAGAGAAAGGCAAAGAGAGGGGGGCAGAAAGAAGAGAAGUAGAGGCUGCCCAUGAACAUAUGGAGAGAGUGGGGAGAGGAAUGGGGGUAGAAGAGACAGAGGGGGAAGGGGGGAAGAGAGUAAGAGGGCAAGAGAGUGAGGAGGGGGCAAGCAGCCCCUUUUAUAAUGAGUCAGGCAUACCUGGCUGUUGCCAGGUAACUGUGGGGCAGAGUCUAAAAGAAAUGCUAACAGUUAUGCUUCUUCUUUUUUUUUUUUUUUUUUUUUUUUUAGCCUAGAAGGUAAAAAGGCUGUGAUAAAUCAGGCUAGAAAACAACAAGGCCUUUGGUAGAAAGGUCUGUGGCCUUGUGGGUGUGGCUGAUACUUACAGGAACCUCGUCCAAGCCCAGUGCUUGGAAAGUUCCUCUUCAGUCUCUCCCAAGACCUCAUAAGAUUCUCCAGAGUUCUAUUUAGGAACAUUUCACAGCUUUUGACCCACAUGGCAUAAGGAGAGUUGUUAAUACCCACCAAGACCUUGAGGUGCCCUGUACCCCCAGAGUCCUUGGACUGGGUAUCCCUGUGGGAUCUGUCUGCCUGGCAAAUGGAUACUGAUUGAUUAUGUUAUAAAGUACUAAGGGCCAAGGGCAGGCAUGGGCUCUGGCAAGCUUGUGUGUGGGUUGGACUCAGGGUUUGGUCCAGCCCUUCUUGGAGAAACAUUCUCCCUCUGAGGGCCCAGAUAGUGUGUCCUUUUCUGUGAGGCUUGGAGGUCAAGGGUUCUAAGUCCUGUUCAUAGUCACUCCCUUCACCUCACCACACCAAGGACAGUGACAGCAUGUAAAUUCAUUUUCCCCCUCAGGAGUCUCACUGAAAACACUUCUCUGGUAUUCUAGAGCCAUGCCUGGAUGCCGGCUACAAGACAGAGCUGCUGACAUACUGUAUAAGAUGAAUCGGAUUUGUAAGGCAGUGUAGGAACUUCAACCCACCCGGGUCAAUUACCAAGGUGACUUUAUUUGCUGAGGAAAUUAUCAUGAUUAAUAUGUAUUACUUCACCAUGUACCACCAGGCAGGUGAAUGAGAGGUCAGAAAUCAGUCAUGAACCAUAUUCAGGGAAUAGUGAGAAUAACAACGUCUCAGGGUCCAUCUCUGUACUUACUGCAUACUCAAAGCUCACAGCUAAAUGGAGGAUGAACACACAUUUACUACCUGAGUCCAAGCCUUUCUGCCCAAUGGGAGGUGAGGAUGGAUCACUAGAAUGGGCCAGCAAGAUGGCUCAGUGGGUAAAGGCACACUGGCUGGCAACAUGAGUCCAGUCUCGAGAACCCAUGCAAAGGUGGAAGGAGGGAACAGACUCUAUAAAGUUAUCCUCUGACCUUUACACUCCUGCUGUGACAUGCACCCCCACAAAGAAAGAAAAGAUAAACAAACAAACAAGCCUAAAACAAAUCAUCUCAUCUCCUGAGCAGAAAUCCUGCUGGGAGCUCCUGGGGAAUUGGGUCUUUAUUCCCAGCUAGCGUUGGCAACAUGACAGAUGUCCUUUGUUGGGGUAUAAUUGCUAGGAUAAUCUCUGUUUCCAUUUAGCAGACAGACACAUUUCAGGCCACAUGAGCCCUGCUUGCUGACUCUGUCCCGGAGAAGUGCUGAGUGUGGACUUAGACACUGAGCUGUCAGCAUCCUGGCUGUUCGCUGAAGAGAAGAUGGGACAUGGCUACAGAAUUCACCUUUACCUUAAUUCGAGUCUUCUGGAUUUCACUGUUGGGAUCCUCCGGGGCUAACUGACUUUAUGAUGAAGGGAAGUCUGGUGUGCAGAGUGGAGGUGGCUGGCACAGGUUCCCUGGAAAAUAAAGCAGGCUCAAAGGCGCAUAGGCCACUCCUAGGCAGAGUUUCUACUCCUGGGCCCUUCCUUCACAUCCAUGGAGGCUCACCUCCUCCCUUGUGAGAUUACUCCUGUGCUUACAGUGAAUAGAGGACACCUCCCUCUUGGUUGACAUUAGAUAGUGACACCUUGGUAGGGUGAGCAGUAAUUUGCCACAGCGUUCGCAGAAGCCCUGAGUUACUUCAGUCUCCAAGGGCUGCCUUUUGCACAGAGUCAAAUCACUGUGUUCUAAACACACAGGCAAGUGUCCUCACCAACUGUGUCACAAGCCAGGAGAACAUGGCAGCUGAGAUGUUAAGCAGUUUGCUCAAGGUCACCCUAGAGACAUUUCCUAGAGUUUUGUAAUCUGGUGUAAAGGUGGUUUUUGUUUUGUGUGUGUAUGUAUAAAGGUUUUAAAAGAGGGCACCUUCUUUUUCUGUUGUCCCAAAGGACACAGCAAUGAUAACCAACAGAUGUCAAAUGAGCACAAGACAGGAGCCAGCAGCCAGGCUUUGGCCACUGUGGUCUGCAAAGUGUUUCAAACAGUUCUUUCAGAAGACUUUGACAGACAUUAGAUCACUAACAUGAAGUCUACCACAGUGCAGGGCAUGUCCACCAUGAUCUAAAUGCUGGUUCCUAAGAUUGGGGGAUGGUGUAGGUGGUGUGCUGGCACAGGCUUACAAUCCUAGCACGCAUACACAGAGACACACAGAGACGCACACAUGGCAGGGAGGCAUCACUUAUUAACCGUCGAGUUUCCAACAUGGUUUCUAGUGGCAGCAAGUAUGGAAUGUCACCAAACACAAUCAUCUAUAGAUCACUAAGAUGCCUCUAAUUUAUACUCAUCCAGGGCACAAGGCAGAUGUGAAUUUCGAAUCCAUGAGGGCUUCUAUGUUCUCCGUGCCACAAAGUGACCCAUAAUGUAAACUUUAAAAGGUCACUGUCAUUUUAAGAAGCUAUUCAUAGGCAAUAGGAAAAAGUAAUGCAGAGUGGAGAGAAGCUAGAUGAAGUGAAAUUAGACUAUCAACGAUCCUUUCCUAAACUCCAGAAAAAAAAAUCUCUCCCCUCCUCUCUCCUCUUCUCUCUUCUCCUCUCUUCCCCUCCCUCCCUACCUCUCCUCAGUUUCCUAGGUUGGUCUUGAACUAGUGAACUUAACUCAGUUCCUCAGUAGCUGAAGGCCAGACAUGUACCAUCAGAUCAGCUUUAUCUUAACUCUUACACUCUUGGCAUUUUGCUUCUCGACUGGGAUGUAGUGCUGAGAACUGAACCUGAGUCUUCUACAAGAGCAAGUAAGUACUCUUAAAAGGUAUGUGCGUGUGUGUGUGUGCGUGUGUGUGAGUGUGUGUGUGUGCAUGUGAGUGUGCCUGUCUGUCUGUCUUGUUUGUCUGUGUAUACAGGUAGGCAUGUGCCACGGCCCUCAUGUGGCGGUCAGAAGACAACGUUUCAGGAAUCGGUCCUCUCUUUUCACCUUGCUUUUUUGAAGCGGGGUCUCUCUCAUUACUGCUGGUGCACUGUGUACUGGCCGAUGGGGGUGCUGGGAUUGCAGCUGCACAUCAGCCGUUCACAUGGGUUCUGGGGAUUUAACUCAGGUUAGUCAGGCUGGCUUGCAAGCGCUUUUAUAGCCAUCGCAAGGCCCAACAUUUAGAUUUAGGAUUCCAAGGCCCCAAAGUCUGUACUCCAAAAGAUAAAAUCAAGAGAUUUAAAUCCUUUAAUCCCAGCCCUUGGGAGGCAGAGACAGGCAGGUCUUUGAGUGUCCAGAACAGCCAGGGCUACACAGAAAAUCACCGUCUUGAAAAAACAAAACAAACUACCCACAAACAAACAAACAAACAAACAAACAAAAUAACAACAAAAAGGUUUGAGAGAGGAUUAAAGAGGAUAUCCUGAAAUCAGCCUCUCAGCCUCUGAUAUUUACAAACUACCACAGGCAAGUGCACACACACACACACACACACAAGCUACCACAGGCAAGUGCACACACACACACACACACACACAAGCUACCACAGGCAAGUGCACACACACACACACACACAUACACACACACACACACACAAGCUACCACAGGCAAGUGCACACACACACACACACACAAGCUACCACAGGCAAGUAUACACACAUACACACACACACACAAAGCUACCACAAGCAAGUAUACACACACACACAAGCUACCACAGGCAAGUGCACACACACACACAAGCUACCACAGGCAAGUGCACACACACACAAGCUACACACACAUACACACACACACACACACACACACACGCACACCCCAAGGGAAAGGUGGUGAUAGAAGGAGCAUGUACGUUCCCCUCAGAGUCCUUUCCUCUGUCUUCUUGGUCUCUUCUGAUGGCUGCUUCUUUCAAAGCCACUUCUUUCUCAUCACAUGGUACCAUUUAUGCAUCCUGGCACACCAUCAUGAAGAGAUGAACAUUCCAACCUACAGAGAGAGAACACUUGACAAACCUGGAGUGAUUUUUUCUUUUCUUUUUUUAGUGGCUGAGGGUAGCCUCCUUGGACGUUGGUAUUGCGUCCCUCCAAACCUCUCACUUCUGCUUCUAAGAAGCAGUCUGAACCCUCAGUAGAAUGAUGUCUUUUGGGGUCCUGGGAGUCCUUUAGUGAGGAGCCAGGCUGGGGAGGAGGGUGACGACACCGACACCGGGUUAGAACCUUCAGAGGACUCUCCAGAAGCUGCUUAGGGAUACUGGUUGGGGGCUCUGGGGAGGAGGUGUACUUCAUUCUUGUUUUGAAAGUGUGGUAGCAGGAUGUAUACAAACUUACCUGAUGAACCAAGGAUCGCCCCCUUCCCCCCAGCUGUAGGGUUUUACCUAAUUUGCAGGAACUUGGCUGGUACCGUGGAAAUCCAGGGGAUUGCUGGACCCAGCAAUGGGUUUCUCAUGGGACAGACAGGUCCUUUACUAAAUCAUGGUCUUAAAGUGGUAACCACAUCCUCUACGGUGGGAGAGCAGGAAGAGGAGUAAAGGCCAUCUCCUUACCCGUGUCAUGUCUUCGUCAAAGGAACCCCUAUCACGUUUAUGCUAUAGGUACUGUCCGUGUAUUACUGUUUACAGGGAGCAGGUGGGCUGAUGUUAGCUUCAAAGAGCUGGAGUGAUCACUGGGGUCAGCCGGUAUUCAAUUCUGAGCAGGAGAGGAAGCACGCCCCUCACUCAGACCAGAAGCCAAGGUCCUGCUGCCUGGGAGGAACACCAGGGCCCUGAGCAGCCCGCAGUACCAGAUCUGCAGCCAGUGGCUCUGAAGAUCCGGGAGCACGUGGCGUGUUCGCCCUGGUUUCAGGCUCCGACGCACCCAUUUCCUCUCGUGGUUUUAGGACUUCAGCAUUUACUGAGACCAGAGCGCCUUUGCCAAAGAUCAAGGUUUGUUGCGCAAUCUUUGAUGAAUCUGAAAAGAACCAAGUUGUGGAGAAAAGCCUGCACUCACCACGCCACAGGCCGCUCUGGACAGGAUGGGGUUCCCUACGCCGCAGGGGGGCGGCGUUGCGAGAAGCGAGUGCGGUCACCCGAACCACUUUGACCCGGGGCUUCAAUCGUGGCGUGGUCGGGCUGCGGGUGUGUGUUUCCGGGGGCUGGACCUAAACAGAGACACAGCAAAACCAGAUGGAUCAGAAUCAGCUCCUGGCGAGUCCGGAGCUGGCCUACCUUGAGACAGAGAGUGCACGGCGACCACCCGGGGGCAGCGUGGGCCGCGUGGAGUGGGACAGUGGCGCCGCACGCCGCGCACUUCCUGUUCAACGCGCGCGCCGCCUGCCACCGCCCAGCGCUCCCAGAGCCUACGUUGGUGCCAGACCCGGCCCCCACAGUUCCCCGGGUCCCGGGGGCCGCGGCUCAGAGGCCGCCCGGGGCGGGCGCCCUGCCCUAUUCUCCCCUAGGGGCUGGGGCGCGCCCUUCGGCCCGCAGAACCCAGCCAGCCGCCGCCACAGUUUAUUCCUGCGGCCACGCGCCAGCCCAAUUGCGACGAGUCUUCGCCUUUGCACCUCCUCUUCCCCCUCUGCCCUCCCUCUCGCCCAAAGAGGAGGCCCUCCGGGUCCCAGGCUCCCUGUCGCUUUAUUGUGCGGCCCAGGGUUAUGCAUUUCUCUACCAAGUGUCUCUGGCCACCGUUUCCAUCGAGGCACAGACACGAGAAGGCUGUUUUCCAAAUUGCUGUUGUUAAUUGCACCUGCCUGGCCGACUACCUCUGGGAAUUUGUGGGAGGAGCCGAGAGGUGGAAAAUGUUGCUUCGCUUUGCAGAAGGAGGAAAACUUUAUCACCCAGCACAAGACUUCUGCCACGCGUAACCAAAAGUAGCACGGGCCGAGACUCUGCACCCAAUGAUUCCGUAGGAGAAAGAGGACGCUCCAACCCGGCAUUCCGCGGACUGCCAGCCCCUCGGGUGGAGCCCCGCGUGUUACCUGCGCCACCCGCCCUCCCCGCGGAAGUCCCCACGAGGUGUUUUCAGGGUGGGAGGACAGUCAUAAAAAGCGCGUGGCUCCAGUGUAACGGCAGCAGUCCUGGGAGGCAGCGAGGGGACCGAACCCCGGGGACGAGGCACCGGAAUUAACUUCUAGCUAAAGUUAUGGGAAGCGCAGCCAUGGACACCAAGAAGAAGAAAGAGGUUUCCAGCCCGGGCGGGAGCAGUGGCAAAAAGAACCCUAGCCUGAAGAGGCGGUCACUGCGAGUGCACAUUCCGGACCUGAGUUCCUUUGCCAUGCCGCUCCUGGAUGGAGAUGUGGAGAAUUCAGAAAAGCAUUCAUCUCGGAAGGUGGACAGUCCCUUCAGCUCAGGCAGCCCCUCCAGAGGACUCUUCUCCAGAGGCCCCCAGCCCCGGCCCUCCAGCCCUGUGUCUGCUCCCGUGAGGCCCAAGACGAGCCCUGGCUCUCCCAAAACUGUGUUCCCGUUCUCCUACCAGGAGUCCCCUCCACGCUCUCCACGCCGGAUGAGCUUCAGUGGGAUCUUCCGCUCCUCAUCCAAAGAGUCUUCGCCCAACUCCAACCCGUCUACCUCUCCUGGGGGCAUCCGGUUCUUCUCACGGUCCAGAAAAACCUCCAGCGUCUCCUCUUCUCCGUCAACACCCACCCAAGUGACCAAGCAGCACCCAUUUCCCCUGGAGUCCUACAAGCAGGAGCCUGAACGCCCAGAGAGCCGCAUCUAUGCUUCCUCGUCCCCUCCAGACACUGGGCAGCGCUUCUGCCUGGCCUUUCAGAGCCCAGCGCGACCUCCGCUGGCAUCCCCGACAUACCAUGCUCCUUUGAGAACUGCGGUGCUGGCGGCGGCCCCGGGACCCGCGGAAGCCGGCAUGCUGGAGAAGCUGGAGUUCCAGGAGGAAGCAGAAGACUCAGAAAGUGGCGUUUAUAUGCGAUUCAUGAGGUCACACAAGUGUUAUGACAUCGUUCCAACCAGUUCAAAGCUUGUUGUCUUCGACACUACGUUGCAAGUCAAAAAGGCCUUCUUUGCCUUGGUAGCCAACGGAGUCCGUGCAGCGCCGCUGUGGGAAAGUAAAAAGCAGAGCUUUGUAGGAAUGCUCACGAUUACAGAUUUCAUAAAUAUCCUACACAGAUACUAUAAAUCACCCAUGGUACAGAUUUAUGAAUUGGAAGAACAUAAGAUUGAAACGUGGAGGGAGUUGUACUUACAAGAAACCUUCAAGCCUUUGGUGAACAUCUCUCCAGAUGCGAGCCUCUUCGAUGCUGUAUACUCGUUGAUCAAAAAUAAAAUCCACAGAUUGCCAGUUAUUGACCCUAUCAGUGGGAACGCACUUUAUAUACUUACCCACAAAAGAAUCCUCAAGUUCCUCCAGCUUUUUGAGUCUCAUGAUUUGAAUAUUGAUGAACUCUUUGACUUGAACAUUUUGUUUCUUCUAAUUGUUCAUCUUUUCCUGAUAAUUAUAAGAUGUCUGACAUGCCAAAGCCUGCCUUCAUGAAGCAGAACCUGGAUGAGCUUGGAAUCGGAACGUACCACAAUAUUGCCUUCAUUCACCCAGACACUCCCAUCAUCAAAGCCUUGAACAUCUUCGUGGAGAGACGGAUAUCCGCAUUGCCUGUGGUGGAUGAGUCAGGAAAAGUUGUAGAUAUUUAUUCCAAGUUUGAUGUAAUUAAUCUUGCUGCUGAGAAAACGUACAAUAACUUGGACAUCACAGUGACCCAGGCCCUGCAGCACCGCUCGCAGUAUUUUGAGGGUGUGGUGAAGUGCAGUAAGCUGGAAACACUGGAGACCAUCGUGGACAGGAUAGUGAGAGCCGAGGUCCAUCGGCUGGUUGUAGUGAAUGAAGCAGAUAGCAUUGUGGGUAUUAUCUCCCUGUCAGACAUCCUGCAAGCCCUGAUCCUCACACCAGCAGGUGCCAAACAGAAGGAGACAGAGACUGAAUGACCGCCGUGAAUGUAGACGCCCGCGCAGGAGAACUUGAACAAAGUCUCGGGGUCACGGUUUGCCUCAUGAACACUGGCUGCAAUAGAAGAGAGUAAAAUGGCUAAGAAUGUAUACCAGGGUUUAGCGAUGGGUAUUUUUCCAGUGAUUUGUAAGUAUAGGAAAAGAUUUUAUGUGCUUGAAGAUUCAGGCUUGCGUUCAAAGACUGCCCUCAGACCUGUCUGAAGGAUUUUCAAUGCUGUAUGUCAUUAAAGUGCACUGUGUCCUGAAAUAGUACUACUUUUCAUUUCAAAGAAGUCACUGGGAUGGAACAGGUGACAGAAAGUGAGUGAACGGCACGUCCAGAUCACGGUGCCUUAUGUCCAAACGCAAUAUGUCACCGCCGCUGCCGCACGCCCCAAAGUGCUGCUGAAGAGACACCCAGCCCAAGUGUGAGCAUCUUCAGACCUUUUACCCAGUCUCUUCCUUUUCACUUAAUUGGUUGAAAAGUUUUAAUUUGAGUACAGGCAACUGAAAAUGUGAUGUGAUGCCUCUAAGCGCUCUGCAUCCGUCCUGUUCUGGCUGCCGUGUUAGCGAGGCCGGCUUGGCAACAGCGCUUUAUUUAUUUUUACUCUCAUGCAGGUUUCAACCUACAUCCUUUGGUGAGUAGACGUCACCAUACCUACGAAUAAAACCUUGAUUGUUCUCUCAAGUGGAAAAUCUCUGGAGAUUUUAGUUUGGAUCUGGAAAGGCUAUGCCUUCCAAACAGCCACUGUAGGGUCUUCUAAACGUUUAUGAAAACAGGCUGUGGUCGCAGGGAAGAAGUAACGGAAGACGUCUUUUUUUUUAUUGUGUGUUGAAAUGUAAACUCAUGAUGUUUGUGUGACCGCUGACAAGACGCUUGUAACUUUUAUUGUGACACAUAAAACAGUAUUGUCAUGCAGUUGAAGGGAAACUCUUUCCCCUCCCACACCCCACAACCCCCACAGCCCCCAGUGUCAGUGCUCUGAAAAUGUUGACACUAUAUAUCUGUGUGUGUAUAUAUGAGCAGAGUUUGGGGGUUUGUUUUGGGGUUUUGUUUCGUUUUGUUUUUCAGAUUGAAAAUUAAAAUAAAUCCUGUCUACCAGUUUGCUAAA
RNA transcript from Mus musculus (house mouse), 9356 nucleotides. It is a transcript of the gene named protein kinase, AMP-activated, gamma 2 non-catalytic subunit, with no coding region annotated. The transcript is spliced from 17 exons. The record is from RefSeq and is marked validated. NCBI's taxonomy places the organism in Eukaryota, Metazoa, Chordata, Mammalia, Rodentia, Muridae.